AGAGUUUGAUCCUGGCUCAGGAUGAACGCUGGCGGCGUGCCUAAUACAUGCAAGUCGAGCGAACCACUUCGGUGGUGAGCGGCGAACGGGUGAGUAACACGUAGGUGAUCUGCCCAUCAGACGGGGACAACGAUUGGAAACGAUCGCUAAUACCGGAUAGGACGAAAGUUUAAAGGUGCUCCUGGCACCGCUGAUGGAUGAGCCUGCGGCGCAUUAGCUAGUUGGUAGGGUAAAGGCCUACCAAGGCGACGAUGCGUAGCCGACCUGAGAGGGUGAACGGCCACACUGGGACUGAGACACGGCCCAGACUCCUACGGGAGGCAGCAGUAGGGAAUCUUCGGCAAUGGGCGAAAGCCUGACCGAGCAACGCCGCGUGAAUGAUGAAGGCCUUCGGGUUGUAAAAUUCUGUUAUAAGGGAAGAACGACUUUAGUAGGAAAUGGCUAAAGUGUGACGGUACCUUAUGAGAAAGCCACGGCUAACUACGUGCCAGCAGCCGCGGUAAUACGUAGGUGGCAAGCGUUAUCCGGAAUUAUUGGGCGUAAAGCGCGCGUAGGCGGUUUUUUAAGUCUGAUGUGAAAGCCCACGGCUCAACCGUGGAGGGUCAUUGGAAACUGGAAAACUUGAGUGCAGAAGAGGAAAGUGGAAUUCCAUGUGUAGCGGUGAAAUGCGCAGAGAUAUGGAGGAACACCAGUGGCGAAGGCGACUUUCUGGUCUGUAACUGACGCUGAUGUGCGAAAGCGUGGGGAUCAAACAGGAUUAGAUACCCUGGUAGUCC
This 776-nucleotide ribosomal RNA is filed under the name uncultured bacterium. RNAcentral's name for it is "bacterial SSU rRNA". It matches the Rfam family "Bacterial small subunit ribosomal RNA", at positions 8 to 796 of the family's 1533-position model. The record is from RNAcentral.